UACAGAGGGGGCAAGCGUUGUUCGGAAUUACUGGGCGUAAAGGGCGCGUAGGCGGCCUGCUAAGUCGAACGUGAAAUCCCCGAGCUCAACUCGGGAACUGCGUCCGAUACUGGCAGGCUUGAAUCCGGGAGAGGGAUGCGGAAUUCCAGGUGUAGCGGUGAAAUGCGUAGAUAUCUGGAGGAACACCGGUGGCGAAGGCGGCAUCCUGGACCGGCAUUGGCGCUGAGGCGCGAAAGCCAGGGGAGCAAACGGG
RNAcentral lists this ribosomal RNA (253 nucleotides) under uncultured bacterium. RNAcentral's name for it is "partial 16S ribosomal RNA". It matches the Rfam family "Bacterial small subunit ribosomal RNA", at positions 524 to 776 of the family's 1533-position model. The record is from RNAcentral.